Molecule: transfer RNA, 78 nt
Filed under: Amanita muscaria Koide BX008
Lineage: Eukaryota; Fungi; Basidiomycota; Agaricomycetes; Agaricales; Amanitaceae
Rfam family: tRNA
About the family: Transfer RNA (tRNA) molecules are approximately 80 nucleotides in length. Their secondary structure includes four short double-helical elements and three loops (D, anti-codon, and T loops).
Source: Rfam by way of RNAcentral
GCAUUAAUGGGGUAGUGGUAACCUGGGUCGUUGCCAAUACGACUCGACCCGCCGGGGGUUCGAUUCCCUCUUAAUGCA